AGAAAAAUUACAAUUAAAUGCAAAAUGGGAAUAGAAAAUCUUAACAGUAUCCUAGCACAAAAUUAACACAUACGUCUAGCAUCCAAAAACGAUAAACUGAUAAGCUAAGGCUUAUCAAUUUCCAGAAAGGGUACAAAAGAGUUCCUUUUUAAAAAAAUAAAUAAAUAAAGAAAGAAUAAAAUCAUAUGGAAAAUUCUUAUGAAUCAUAUCUUUAGCUCUAAGAACUACUAUCUCAACUAAAACAUUCCUCUCUGCAUUCAUCUAUUGUAAACUUUCAAUAAAACACAUGAUAGAAAGCAUUCAUGUCCCCUUUCAAUAAAUCAUAUUUUUCACUCAUUUAUAUUCAAG
This 348-nucleotide unclassified non-coding RNA is filed under the name Hevea brasiliensis (rubber tree). The record is from RNAcentral. Lineage: Eukaryota; Viridiplantae; Streptophyta; Magnoliopsida; Malpighiales; Euphorbiaceae.